Molecule: long non-coding RNA, 427 nt
Organism: Beta vulgaris subsp. vulgaris (sugar beet)
Lineage: Eukaryota; Viridiplantae; Streptophyta; Magnoliopsida; Caryophyllales; Amaranthaceae
Exons: 2
Source: RefSeq, a predicted model, not a curated record
UAAUAAUAAUAGUAAUAAUUAUUUAAGUAAUAAGACGGUACUUAUAAAGUUUAGUAAAUAAGUGAAUAUACAUAGUUCCGCAAUUAUUAUGGUUAACGAGUCAACCUUAUAACUAUAAUAAUAACAUAUGAGGAAUGUUACGAUAUUAAUCGUCUCGUUAUCAAUUAUUGGUUAGAUUAAGGAAAAAGGGAUAUUACAAGCCUCCCCCGACUAUCAAAGUUACUAAGCAGGAUUUGAGGUAAUGACGGGGAUGACGGAAUGGCGUAGCAGUGAGGAAUAAUUACUACUUAAAUUAUGCAGACUCUUAUUAAUAUGUAUUCUAAGCUUGAGAACAUUAGUUUAUGAACCUUAAUUAUGUUUCACCUAGUUAUUUACGCAUUUCUAAGUUAGUUAUGAAGUUUAAUAUUUAUAAAGUUACGUUCUUUAA